CCCUUAGAUGUUCUGGGCCGCACGCGCGCUACACUGAUGCAUUCAACGAGCCUAUCCUUGACCGACAGGUCCGGGUAAUCUUUGAAUCUGCAUCGUGACGGGGAUAGAUUAUUGCAAUUAUUAAUCUUCAACGAGGAAUGCCUAGUAGGCGCAAGUCAUCAGCUUGCGUCGAUUACGUCCCUGCCCUUUGUACACACCGCCCGUCGCUCCCACCGAUUGGGUGUGCUGGUGAAAUGUUCGGAUCGGCCGUUUGUCGCGGUUUCCGCGGCUCGUGGCUGAGAAGUUCAUUAAACCCUCCCACCUAGAGGAAGGAGAAGUCGUAACA
Molecule: ribosomal RNA, 325 nt
Filed under: uncultured eukaryote
Lineage: Eukaryota
Description: partial 18S ribosomal RNA
Rfam family: Eukaryotic small subunit ribosomal RNA
Source: RNAcentral